UGUGAGUGUAUGUGUGUCUGUGUUUUUGUGUUUGAGUGUGUGUGAGGUUCACACACUUUGUGCUGACUGCAGUGAAAGCGGAGGGUCAGGGAUAGUUAGACCUUGUCCUCUCUGCAGACUGAACAACUGGAACAACUCUGAAGAUCUGGGAAACUACAGCAGCUACAUUCACUACUGCGAGUACUGCAGUACAAACCUGAGAUGAUUUUCAACAUCUCUGUUAUUGCUGGGUUUAUGCAUAUCUGAAUAGUCUGCUGGAUGGAGAUGAUGGUACAGAACCUGGAUCAUAACUGUGCCGGUGAAGCUGAAGAGGACCUGGAAAGAACAACCCCAAACAUGCAGCACACUAUGAAACAUCCAGCUGUGCAAGAUGAGCAGAAACACCACAGCAGGAAAACUCUGACAUGAAGUUUGAGUGUUCCAGCAGGACAGAGACUCAAAAUCAUAGCCACAGACUCUGUUGGAUGCAGCUUGGUUUUGGUCUUGUCCGAGGAUAUAUGUCAUGCAGACGGGAGCAGACGGGGAUGGAACCUAAACCUUCUGUUUAAUGUUUGCAGUUUUUUACUUCAGCUCUUUUAUCCUUGUGUUGUUUCCUGUGAUGUGCACUCUGUCUACUUUGUCACUUUGAGGCUGUAAAUCUAAUAAAAAAUUAUCUUUGUGUUUUGUUUGCCUGUUUUUAGGUCCUCUAAAUCACUGUGGUCAGUUGUGCUGUACAGACUAUGCAUGCAUGUACCUGUGUUAAAAAUACUCUGUAUACUCUGCUGACUGCUUCAGUAUGAAAAGCAGUGAUGGAUGUUCCAACAAGAUCAUCUUCUGUGUUUUUGUUCCUCCUGCGAGUCACGUACAAUGUUUGUGUCACGAUCCUGGGUCUUAGGACCCAGUGUUUUGAGUUCUAGUUCAUUUUGAUGUUUAUAGUAUGUUUAGCUCAUUAGGCCUCCUAUGUUGAUUUGCUUAUUAGUUCCCCCUUGUGUUUCAACCCAUGUUAAGUCUCCCCUGCCCUUCAUGUCUCUCUGUGCCCCCUCUGUUCUGUUUAUGGUGUGUCUUUGCAUGUUUGAGUUUCUUGUUUUCUGUCACCCUGCAUUGUGCAUUAUGUUCUCAUGGUUGGUCUUUUGUUACUCCCUCUAGUCUAGUCUCUUGUGUUCAAAGCUGAGUAUUUCCCUCUGUGUAUUUUGGUUCUUAGACCUCUGCCUUAUGGUUUGUCUCUGUUUCUUAGUUGCUGUCUCCACUGUGUCUAGUUCGCGUCUCUGUGUGAUACUUCCUGUUUUACUUUGAAGGUCCAUGCCUCAUGUGAGUGUUUCUAGUGUUGCGUCUCUGUCUCGUCCAGUCCUGAUUUCUCCCAGCUGUGCCCUCCUUCUGUGUCUCAUUCCCUCGUUAUCCCUCUGUGUAUUUAAGCCCUGUGUUUCUCUUUGUCAGUGUCGUAGUCUCCAUCAUAGCUGUGUGAUUUUUCCCUGUGGCUCCUUGUGCUUUAGUUUUCCCAGUUUAGUUUAUUUUGUAUUGUUUUUCGUGUCCCACUCCACGCCAGCAAUAAAGCUGUGUUUUUUGAGUUUACCUUUUGUCUCUGUGAGUUUGCGUUUGGGUCCUACUUUUGCCUGCACACAGCCGUACUGUGACAGAAGACUACGACCAUUACAUGGACCCAGCAAACCGCUCUCAGCUGCGUGAGCGUCAGGAUGCUGCCUUUGCUGAGCUAGAGGAGGAGCUCCGCUUGAGGCCGUGGCGCACUCCUGACUACGGGCGGAUUUUCCG
Astatotilapia calliptera (eastern happy) is the source of this 1746-nucleotide long non-coding RNA. NCBI's taxonomy places the organism in Eukaryota, Metazoa, Chordata, Actinopteri, Cichliformes, Cichlidae. The record is from Ensembl.